Long non-coding RNA from Austrofundulus limnaeus, 924 nucleotides. RefSeq lists it as uncharacterized. The transcript has 2 exons. NCBI's taxonomy places the organism in Eukaryota, Metazoa, Chordata, Actinopteri, Cyprinodontiformes, Rivulidae. The record is from RefSeq and is a predicted model, not a curated record.
CUUGUGUUCUGCUUCUUUCAGCAUUUAGCUAAUUUUAUGUUUCUUUUAGCCUUCAGUGUCUGUUCUUUGUUCUGUUAGUCUUUAUGCAGCGUUUUGUUUUUUAGCCUUCAGCUAGUGUUCUGCUCCUUUAAAAACCCUGUUUUAGCUCCUUCAGCAGACUUCAGCACAGUCAACUGACACUCAGCAUCCCCACGGCUUUCUCAGAAAACGAUUUUUCUCCUGACAAUAGUUGUAUGUGCAGCUGUUUUUAAUUGGCAGAAAGAUGAUAUAAUUAUGUUGAUAUCUUUAUGAGUUUUUUUUUUUUUUCAUAUUUCCUUCUUCACUGUUUAUGUUUUACUGCCUACUUUUCCAUUUAUGUUUCUGUUUGGGUUGUAUCAGAUGACAGUGCUCUGGUUGUUUUCUGCAGCAGUCUUGUUCUUUCAGCCUGAAAAAAAAAAAAAAGAGAGAAAAAGAAUCAGCCUGACUUUUUGGAAGAACACUGUGGACUCCUCUCUGGAUGUACUGGUAUUCGUGUGACAGCCCACUCCAGUCUCCCCCCACCCCGACCUGUAGUGACUCCCGCACAACCCAAACACUUCCAAGUGGGAUCUUGUUUGCCCGCGGAAAGCCUCGACUACACUGUGUGCUCUUGGCUACAGGGAUUGAGCCAAAAAAUCUUGCGUAAUGUUUGCCRCCGGCAGGUUUAUGUUUGAGGGGCGGAAGGUAAAAAGAGGAGGAGAGAGCCUCCAGUCACAAGACUGCUGACCACUGGCAGCAGGCCUUACAUGGCUUUAACUAAGGCUGAUAAACAGUUCGUCAGAGCUGCAGAGUGCUGGGAUUUACAUGCAAGGACAGAAAGCUUCACACACAUACUGUAAAUAGACGACUUCGUGCCAACUAACGCAACAUAAACGACCAGUUUGUGUGAUUUCCAAACAGCAUAAA